GGGGAGCUGGCCUGGGGCUCCAAUCUCACCCCGCCAAAUAGCCCUUGUGCCCCCCAAAAUUUUUUAUUGGGGCUGCCUCUCGGGUUCUACCUGGACUCCCAAUCAAAGGCAACUCAACACACCUGCCUUCAAUUGGAAGUCCCAAUCACCAACACAAACAUUCACACACACAAACUGCCACGUCCUGACCCCAAAACGAAUACAAUAGCUCCAUCUGCUGGUCAGGACAUGACAAUCGUAACUCCUAAACCAAAUCGUAACUCCUAAACCUAACCCUAACUCCUAAAUCUAAACCUAAACCUAACCAUAACUCCUAUACCUAAACCUAACCAUAACUCCUAUACCUAAACCUAAUCGUAACUCCUAAACCUAAUCGGAACUCCUAAACAUAAUCGUAACUCCUAAACCUAAUCGUAACUCCUAACCUUAUUUCUAACCCUAAAUGGAACCCCUGAGCCUAAAAUAGCAUUUUUUCUCAUGUGGAUCUUCAAAAUGUCCCCACUUGGCCACAUUUUCCUUGUUUUACUAUCCUUAUGAUGAUGCCUAGUACCCACAAGGACAGUUCAACAAAAACACACAGAGAGGAAGGGCUGUACAGUGAACACACUGAGUCACAUUUCAUAUAAAGAGACAUUCCCCUGGGGUCACUUGUCAACCAGGCAUACAUCCCUGACCUCUCCUUCCACAUCACACUGCAUUGUGUCCUACGCUAGAGAAUAGGAUGAUGUCAUUUCAUUAUAAUUGAUUGAUUGUUUAAUUAGUUUGCCAUUUGAGUGAAACUGGAAUACCUGGUUUUGGAUGGUGAUGUGAUCUUUAUGUAAAGGAAGGAAGGGGAAGCUGAAUGGUUGGCUGAGUGGAGGUCUCUAUGAUAAGAUAGGAGAACAGUGUGAUCUUUAUGUAAAGGAAGGAAGGGGGAGCUGAAUGGUUGGCUGAGUGGGGGUCUCUAUGAUAAGAUAGGAGAACAGUGUGAUCUUUAUGUAAAGGAAGGAAGGGGGAGCUGAAUGGUUGGCUGAGUGGGGGUCUCUAUGAUAAGAUAGGAGAACAGUGUGAUCUUUAUGUAAAGCAAGGAAGGGGGAGCUGAAUGGUUGGCUGAGUGGAGGUCUCUAUGAUAAGAUAGGGAGAACAGUGUGAUCUUUAUAGUGUUGUAGAGGAGGCUCUGUGGUGAGGACAAGGCCGCUGGAGGACGUCUGAAACCAUAGUUCUCCCUCAGGACCUAUUACUGACUGUAGAUCUACCAGAGCUGAGUCCCUCACUACAGCAGGUGUAGAUCUACCAGAGCUGAGUCUCUCACUACAGCAGGUGUAAAUCUACCAGAGCUGAGUCCCUCACUACAGCAGGUGUAGAUCUACCAGAGCUGAGUCUCUCACUACAGCAGGUGUAAAUCUACCAGAGCUGAGUCCCUCACUACAGCAGGUGUAGAUCUACCAGAGCUGAGUCUCUCACUACAGCAGGUGUAAAUCUACCAGAGCUGAGUCCCUCACUACAGCAGGUGUAGAUCUACCAGAGCUGAGUCUCUCACUACAGCAGGUGUAAAUCUACCAGAGCUGAGUCUCUCACUACAGCAGGUGU
RNAcentral lists this long non-coding RNA (1569 nucleotides) under Salmo salar (Atlantic salmon). RNAcentral describes it as "lncRNA (ENSSSAG00000120186.1)". The record is from RNAcentral. Lineage: Eukaryota; Metazoa; Chordata; Actinopteri; Salmoniformes; Salmonidae.